UCGGGAAUUUUGGGCAAUGGGCGAAAGCCUGACCCAGCAACGCCGCGUGAAGGAUGAAGUAUUUCGGUAUGUAAACUUCGAAAGAAUAGGAAGAAUAAAUGACGGUACUAUUUAUAAGGUCCGGCUAACUACGUGCCAGCAGCCGCGGUAAUACGUAGGGACCAAGCGUUGUUCGGAUUUACUGGGCGUAAAGGGCGUGUAGGCGGUUUGUCAAGUCAGUUGUGAAAUCUCCGAGCUUAACUCGGAACGGUCAGAUGAUACUGCUUUGCUAGAGUGCAGAAGGGGCAAUCGGAAUUCUUGGUGUAGCGGUGAAAUGCGUAGAUAUCAAGAGGAACACCUGAGGUGAAGACGGGUUGCUGGGCUGACACUGACGCUGAGGCGCGAAAGCCAGGGGAGCAAACGGGAUUAGAUACCCAAGUAGUCCCUGAGCGGGCUGGCAAGGCGCAU
RNAcentral lists this ribosomal RNA (447 nucleotides) under uncultured bacterium. Its description in RNAcentral is "bacterial SSU rRNA". It matches the Rfam family "Bacterial small subunit ribosomal RNA", at positions 355 to 825 of the family's 1533-position model. The record is from RNAcentral.